CGUUGUCAAAAUGUCAAAAAUUGUUGUGAAAAUAUUUUAUUAAAUAAACAAAAUAAUUGAAUUAAAAAUAACUAAUUUUAUUUUAAAUUGUUUAAAAAUAAGUUAAAAAUAAGAAAUCAGAUAAUUAAGUGUGAAUAAAAGUGUAAAUUAAAAAAGAAACAAAUUUGAAUAGAGGUUAUGUUCGGAUUUAAAGGGACAUAGAGAAUAACAAAAGAAAUACAAUUCUCGUUUUAGUUAUUUUCUCUUUAAAUAAAAGUGCGUGUUAAAAAAAAAGAAAAAAAAAUAGAGAGAGAGCGAUAGCGCGAGUAAAAGAAUUCUUUCUGCGUAAAAUGGGUUUGACGCUAUAAAACGGGAUUGCGAUUGGAGUAAACUGCGUAUAUACAUGGGCUGGUUAACAGAGGAUUUCUCCUUCCUUUGUGAUUUUCUCCCUCCCUCCCUCUCCCAUGUGGGGUAGGUCAAGCAAGGCCAGGUGCAGACUCGGCCCCAUGGACAGAUGAAAAAAGAAGUUGGAUGCUCCUUUGGAAAUGCAGAAGUGGAAAAGUGAAAAAUACAAAAUAGUGUGUGAUUCUCCGAAAAUAAAAGAUUGGAAUGAGAACCGAAACGUCGAGAGAGUUUUUAGGUCGUUGCUACGAGCUCCAGACAUUGGGAGGCCGUUCCACCCUUGGAAGCAUUUGAAAGAGAAAGAGAGAGGGAUAGAAAAAAGAGAGAGAGAGAGUGAGUAAAAGCAGGAAAGAGAAAAAAAGCCUAACUUGUAUAUAGGGAUAGGAAUCAGGGAGUGGGUUAGAGCUUCAGCCCCCACCAAAAGAAUUCAAGUUCUUUGACCAGAAAAUUGUGUGUCAAAAAAAAAGAAGAACCUUUUCAGAGAGAAUUAUCAUUUGAUGCGACUCAAGAUGAAAAAUAUAUAUAAAUCGAGGGAGGUUAUUUUCCAAAUUUUACUAAAAGGUAAUAGUUUGACUGUGAAAUAUUCGAAGGGGAAUUGACAAGGUAUAUAGAAAGAAAGAGAAGAAGAGAGGGCCGAGGUCGACUGGGAUUUAGUCGAUUCACACGAGAAAGAGCUAUAUGAUUUUACAGGGAGAUGCGUUCUCCAUGGUAUAUAUAUAUGUAUAUAAAUAAAGGUGAGGACAGGUGUGCAGCGAGGGUGCGUUCACAGUCUACUGAGUCAGAGCAGUGAGCAAUCGCAGGACAGUCAUCGAGCACACAAACUUCCCUUACUAAAACAAUUCCACACUUGUUACAAUUUAAAAAAAAAAAAACAAACACAAAAUUACUAUUGUUUUCAAAACAAUUAAAAAUGUCCAAUUGGAAAAAUAAUUGAAAAAUUUAUUUCCAAUUGGAAAAUUAGAAUGAAAUUUUUUUUUUUAAAUUCCAAUUGGGAAAAAUUAUUAUCUUAUUGAAAAAUUUUCUCAAAAGAAAAAGAGAUUAGAAAAGCUCAUUUUUCGAAAAAAAAAAACAUAUCCUAUUUUGAUAAAAAAUCAUUUUUGAAUUUUCUCUUCAGUGAUUAUUUGAGGAAAAUUUUUUAAGGAUAAUCUGUGCACAAGUGUAUGUAUGUAUUUGUGACAGGGACACAAAGGAGUGCUGGAUAAGAGCAAAAGCGGAUUUAUUCAAUGCUUUGAUCCCUUGGGCUCUCAAAUCACGCUCCGUAGCGCAAUUGUAACCAAAAUAGAUAUUUUUUUUGUAAAAAAAAUAAAAAUUCGAUAUAAGAAAAUUGAAAACAAAUAAUUUAUAUUUUACAAACCGUUAAUUAUAAAAAGGAAAAUAUUUUUACUAAUUAUGCAAUAUUUUUUGUUUCUUUUAAUUUUUGGUAAUUAAUUAAAUUAGAAAUUAAAUUAAUCUCAAACAGUAAUUAAUAUUAAAAUUUUCUUUUAUGAUUUUUUAACGUGAUUUGAAAUAUUUUCAUUUUCAACAAAAAAAAUUAGUAAAAAGAAUGAAUAUUUUGAAAAUAUGUAUGGU
Long non-coding RNA from Leptopilina boulardi, 1950 nucleotides. RefSeq lists it as uncharacterized. Lineage: Eukaryota; Metazoa; Arthropoda; Insecta; Hymenoptera; Figitidae. The record is from RefSeq and is a predicted model, not a curated record. The transcript is spliced from 3 exons.